AAACAACUUAAUUCAGCUGUACAUGUGUGUUUUAUUGAGAAAUGGUCCUGUGUCUCCGAUCCCCAUGGUUAUUUCCUAUGUAUAAUCCUGGAUUCACAGUUAAGCUAAUGAUAGAAGUGGUAUGUGUUAGAAUUCAUGUCAACGGCAUCGCCCUCUUUUCUCUCCUCUUCAGAUACUACAACAUACUCCACUGAACGAUCUGAGCACUUCAAACCCUGUCGAGACAAGGACCUGGCGUAUUGUCUCAAUGACGGUGAAUGCUUUGUGAUUGAGACCCUGACAGGAUCCCAUAAGCACUGUCGAUUCUUGUGCACAUGGACUGAAUGCUCACUUUCUGUCAAGACUACGGGAGCUCCAGUGAAAUUCAUACAUAAGUUGAAACCUUCUCACGUGGCGUGUCUUUAGAUUUGGAACCUGAAAAUUAAGUUGCUUGGCUCAAGGACGAGGCUUUUCAUUGCACACUAUUUUGCAGACAUUGGCUCAACUUCUAUUGGCUAAUUUGAAUAAUGUAAGCUUUUGUAGUCGUCUUGUCUUUAAUGAACCUUUUAUAUCUUUUAUAUGAUCACCAUGCAAAUGUAUACGUUAUUAUUUUCUUUAUCUGAAAUACUUUCCAGAGCACUGGGAAGACAGUGAGCUGCCAGAUAAGGAAACACCAUUUUCAUUGCAUGCAUAUUUUAUAAGUUUUCACCAUCUGAUGCGGCUGGUUUAUUCACUGUGUAGGAGACACAGCAAGAAGCCUCGUGGCAAAGGUGGUUUCAUCUAAUAAAUGCUCUAGCUUUGCACAUGUGAAACAAGCAUGCACAUAUAGUACUGCAUAAUUAGGGUAAGAAACCUGAGACAGUGAGAUGGGCUGAAACGGAGCGUGUGCUCGUGUGUGCCUGCUGCUGCCAACAGCGUCCGGCAGACACUGCGGGAUGCCAAAAUUAGAGGAAGCUUGAGGCAGUUUAUUAAGGAGCUUAAAUUCUUCUGAGAGGAGAGAGAUCAAGAAUCCAAGCCAUGACGUCCAAUUCAAAAUGAAGGGUGCUUCUCUAGGGAGAAUGGCCUGAUUGAUAUCCAGUAUCCAGGGCAAGAAGGAGUCAAGGAGCACAGUGAGCUCACAAUAAAAGACACCAGUUUAAAUCUACAGCCUGAGAACAUGCUGCUAGGCAUACGGUCUGCCCUGGCUUCUCUGUGUCCAGCAUAUGUGGGUUAGGGAGACCUAUAACCCCAUAGAGCAGACAGGCUAACUCUAACCUAUUUAUCUGCAGAAAGCGAAGAUUUCCACAAAUAAAGCAUUUCUGGCUGGUUUGCUGAUUUUUUUUUU
RNAcentral lists this long non-coding RNA (1303 nucleotides) under Rattus norvegicus (Norway rat). Its description in RNAcentral is "long non-coding RNA NONRATT032224". Lineage: Eukaryota; Metazoa; Chordata; Mammalia; Rodentia; Muridae. The record is from RNAcentral.